UCCGUAGGCGGGCAAUUAAGUCAGAGGUGAAAUCCCACAGCUCAACUGUGGAACUGCCUUUGAUACUGGUUGUCUUGAGUUACAGUGAAGUAGAUAGAAUAUGUAGUGUAGCGGUGAAAUGCAUAGAUAUUACAUAGAAUACCGAUUGCGAAGGCAGUCUACUAACUGUAUACUGACGCUAAUGGACGAAAGCGUGGGGAGCGAACAGGAUUAGAUACCCUGGUAGUCCC
Molecule: ribosomal RNA, 230 nt
Filed under: uncultured bacterium
Lineage: Bacteria
Description: partial 16S ribosomal RNA
Rfam family: Bacterial small subunit ribosomal RNA
Source: RNAcentral